CUAAGACUGGAUAGGAAACAAAAAGGCAUCUUUUUGUUUUUAAAAGACCUUCUUACGAAGGUAUGCUUAAAGAGGGGCUUGCGCCACAUUAGUUAGUUGGUAGAGUAAAAGCCUACCAAGACGAUGAUGUGUAGCUGGACUGAGAGGUUGAACAGCCACAUUGGGACUGAGACACGGCCCAAACUCCUACGGGAGGCAGCAGUAGGGAAUUUUCGGCAAUGGAGGAAACUCUGACCGAGCAACGCCGCGUGAACGAUGAAGUAUUUCGGUAUGUAAAGUUCUUUUAUUGAAGAAGAAAAAGUAGUGGAAAAACUAUAUUGACGUUAUUCAAUGAAUAAGCCCCGGCUAACUAUGUGCCAGCAGCCGCGGUAAGACAUAGGGGGCGAGCGUUAUCCGGAAUUAUUGGGCGUAAAGGGUGCGUAGGCUGUUAGAUAAGUCUAUAAUUUAAUUUCAGUGCUUAACGCUGUCUUGUUAUAGAAACUGUCUUGACUAGAGUGAGAUAGAGGCAAGCGGAAUUCCAUGUGUAGCGGUAAAAUGUGUAAAUAUAUGGAGGAACACCAGAAGCGUAGGCGGCUUGCUGGGUCUUUACUGACGCUGAGGCACGAAAGCGUGGGUAGCAAACAGGAUUAGAUACCCUGGUAGUCCACGCCGUAAACGAUGAGUACUAAGUGUCGGGGUAAAACUCGGUACUGAAGUUAACACAUUAAGUACUCCGCCUGAGUAGUACGUACGCAAGUAUGAAACUUAAAGGAAUUGACGGGACUCCGCACAAGCGGUGGAUCAUGUUGUUUAAUUCGAAGAUACACGAAAAAUCUUACCAGGUCUUGACAUACUCUGCAAAGCUAUAGAAAUAUAGUGGAGGUUAUCAGGGAUACAGGUGGUGCAUGGUUGUCGUCAGUUCGUGUCGUGAGAUGUUAGGUUAAGUCCUAAAACGAACGCAACCCUUGUCGUUAAUUGCCAGCACAUAAUGGUGGGGACUUUAACGAGACUGCCAAUUAAACAUUGGAGGAAGGUGAGGAUUACGUCAAAUCAUCAUGCCCCUUAUGAUCUGGGCUACAAACGUGAUACAAUGGCUGUGACAAAGAGUAGCUGAAACGCGAGUUUUUAGCCAAUCUCAAAAAAGCAGUCUCAGUUCGGAUUGAAGUCUGUAACUCGACUUCAUGAAGUUGGAAUCGCUAGUAAUCGCGAAUCAGCAUGUCGCGGUGAAUACGUUCUCGGGGUUUGUACACACCGCCCGUCAAACCACGAAAGUUAGCAAUGCCCGAAAGCAGUAGCUUAACUUCGCAAGAAGAGGGAACUGUCUAAGGUAGGGUUGAUGAUUGGGGU
RNAcentral lists this ribosomal RNA (1326 nucleotides) under 'Allamanda cathartica' little leaf and yellowing phytoplasma. Its description in RNAcentral is "bacterial SSU rRNA". It matches the Rfam family "Bacterial small subunit ribosomal RNA", at positions 163 to 1481 of the family's 1533-position model. Lineage: Bacteria; Bacillati; Mycoplasmatota; Mollicutes; Acholeplasmatales; Acholeplasmataceae. The record is from RNAcentral.